RNAcentral lists this long non-coding RNA (242 nucleotides) under Podarcis lilfordi (Lilford's wall lizard). The record is from RNAcentral. Lineage: Eukaryota; Metazoa; Chordata; Lepidosauria; Squamata; Lacertidae.
GGCAAUAAUGCAAAGGGUCAUUUCCCCACCAUCCCCUCUGCUCCUGACAUGUCCGCUCUGGGGUUGGGGGUGGGGGGAUCAUUAAGAACAGCUGCGUGAACGAGAUCAAGCAGAAGAACACCUGGCAGCUGGCAAGAAAGGGGUUUGUUCCGUAGCUUAAUAUAAGGCGGGUGCCGUCCUUGAAUCACAGAGGAGCAGAAGAAACCUGGACCCCCUUAGAAGCCCACGGUUUGGCUGAAAUU